RNAcentral lists this long non-coding RNA (1108 nucleotides) under Helianthus annuus (common sunflower). RNAcentral describes it as "hypothetical non coding rna". Lineage: Eukaryota; Viridiplantae; Streptophyta; Magnoliopsida; Asterales; Asteraceae. The record is from RNAcentral.
GAGGAUCUGGACACCUUCCCUAAGAUGGCACAGAUCUGAUAGGAUUAUACGUGGAAACUAGAAGGCUUCUUCAGUUAAGUUAAAUUGGAGGACAUCUACUGCAAAUACAUAUAAGGCUGUUGCCUAACCGAAGAUAAUGUGGUUGUUGAAUCUGAAGCCAAAGCGAAAAAGAAGAAGAGAAAGCAUGGGUUGACUUCCGGUGAUGAAGUUAAAGAAACAAAAUCAGAAGCACUACAGAAGCCUAUUGAUGAUAGUACGAACGGAGAUAAAGUGGUGGUUGAAUUUGAAGGUAAAGCAAAAAAAAAAAAAAAAAAAAAGAAGAAGAAGAAGAAAAACAAGAAUGAUGUAGCUUCUGGUGAUAAAGUUAAAGAAACAAAACCAGAAGCAGUAGAGAAGCCUGUAGAUGGUACUACAAAUGUCUUGGAAGUAAAUGAAUCAAAGAAAAAACCCAAAGAUAAACAACCGCGUAAAGUAUGUGGGUUUGGUUUGAUAAGAAAAUAGUUUGGUGAAAGAAAACCUUUGAUUGAUAUGUUUUUGUAAGCACGUAAAUGUAAGAACUUUUUUUUGCAGCGCGUUUUUAUUUAAGCUAUUGUAUAUUAUUGGGGGUUUUGUUUUUAUCAGGUUGUACAAAGCAUCAUAAGCGAGCUUGAAUCACAAGGGUGGCUUUUGAGAAUUAACUCAAGGGUUUCAUCGCUGGCUACAUGUUGUGGACUGAGGUACAAGUGGUCUAAUUUAUGAUAAGAUGAGUGGUUGCUGCUGGUGUUAUAAUAUUUGAAACCACUGCAUAGGAACACACGAUAUGCAGCAGCCACGAUCAGCUGCUUUGAAGCAUCUACAAAUCCUUCUUUGGAUUACCCGUCCGCAGAUUCUGAUCAUAUGAGCAAAAGAACGAGAAUCAUGGGGAUAACCAAAGAGGUUAAUUCAUUUCAUUUUAUCGCUGCAAGUUGUAACACCAUUCUUCUUAUUAGAGUUUUAUUUCGAUGAAUUUCUUGCCGAAAAACAGGCAAACCUGCCAGUUAACGUGUUAAAAUGCAUUUAUUUGUGCACAACUUCUAGACAUUAAUUAUACAAUUAUUGUUUCAAAUGGAUUACAAUGAUAAAUUGUGAU